Molecule: ribosomal RNA, 253 nt
Filed under: uncultured bacterium
Lineage: Bacteria
Description: partial 16S ribosomal RNA
Rfam family: Bacterial small subunit ribosomal RNA
Source: RNAcentral
UACGUAGGCAGCAAGCGUUGUUCGGAGUUACUGGGCGUAAAGGGUGCGUAGGCGGUCCUAUAAGUAUGGUGUGAAAUCUCCCGGCUUAACUGGGAGGGUGCGCUAUAGACUGUGGGACUAGAGUGUGGGAGAGGAAAGUGGAAUUCCUGGUGUAGCGGUGAAAUGCGUAGAGAUCAUGAGGAAGACCAGUGGCGAAGGCGGGUCUCUGGACAGUUCCUGACACUGAGACACGAAGGCCAGGGGAGCAAACGGG